This 86-nucleotide transfer RNA is filed under the name Chloroflexota bacterium. Its description in RNAcentral is "Chloroflexi bacterium tRNA-Leu". It matches the Rfam family "tRNA". From Rfam's summary of the family: Transfer RNA (tRNA) molecules are approximately 80 nucleotides in length. Their secondary structure includes four short double-helical elements and three loops (D, anti-codon, and T loops). The record is from RNAcentral. Lineage: Bacteria; Bacillati; Chloroflexota.
GCCGGGGUGGCGAAAUGGCAGACGCGGCGGACUUAAAAUCCGCUUCCCGCAAGGGAAUGUGGGUUCGAUUCCCGCCCCCGGCACCA